GCGUAAAGAGCUCGUAGGUGGUUUGUCGCGUUGUUCGUGAAAUCUCACGGCUUAACUGUGAGCGUGCGGGCGAUACGGGCAGACUUGAGUACUGCAGGGGAGACUGGAAUUCCUGGUGUAGCGGUGGAAUGCGCAGAUAUCAGGAGGAACACCGGUGGCGAAGGCGGGUCUCUGGGCAGUAACUGACGCUGAGGAGCGAAAGCGUGGGGAGCGAACAGGAUUAGAUACCCUGGUAGUCCACGCCGUAAACGGUGGGUACUAGGUGUGGGUUUCCUUCCUUGGGAUCCGUGCCGUAGCUAACGCAUUAAGUACCCCGCCUGGGGAGUACGGCCGCAAGGCUAAAACUCAAAGAAAUUGACGGGGGCCCGCACAAGCGGCGGAGCAUGUGGAUUAAUUCGAUGCAACGCGAAGAACCUUACCUGGGUUUGACAUGCACAGGACGCCGGCAGAGAUGUCGGUUCCCUUGUGGCCUGUGUGCAGGUGGUGCAUGGCUGUCGUCAGCUCGUGUCGUGAGAUGUUGGGUUAAGUCCCGCAACGAGCGCAACCCUUGUCUCAUGUUGCCAGCGGGUAAUGCCGGGGACUCGUGAGAGACUGCCGGGGUCAACUCGGAGGAAGGUGGGGAUGACGUCAAGUCAUCAUGCCCCUUAUGUCCAGGGCUUCACACAUGCUACAAUGGCCGGUACAAAGGGCUGCGAUGCCGCGAGGUUAAGCGAAUCCUUUUAAAGCCGGUCUCAGUUCGGAUCGGGGUCUGCAACUCGACCCCGUGAAGUCGGAGUCGCUAGUAAUCG
Molecule: ribosomal RNA, 788 nt
Filed under: uncultured bacterium
Lineage: Bacteria
Description: bacterial SSU rRNA
Rfam family: Bacterial small subunit ribosomal RNA
Source: RNAcentral